RNAcentral lists this ribosomal RNA (255 nucleotides) under uncultured bacterium. Its description in RNAcentral is "partial 16S ribosomal RNA". It matches the Rfam family "Bacterial small subunit ribosomal RNA", at positions 524 to 776 of the family's 1533-position model. The record is from RNAcentral.
UACGGAGGGUGCAAGCGUUAUCCGGAUUCACUGGGUUUAAAGGGUGCGUAGGCGGGCAGGUAAGUCCGUGGUGAAAUCUCUGAGCUUAACUCAGAAACUGCCAUGGAUACUAUUUGUCUUGAAUAUUGUUGGAGGUAAGCGGAAUAUGUCAUGUAGCGGUGAAAUGCUUAGAUAUGAACAUAGAACACCAAUUGCGAAGGCAGCUUACUACACAGUUAUUGACGCUGAGGCACGAAAGCGUGGGGAUCAAACAGG